ACUUGCGGGAGCUUGCUCCCAAAAGUUAGCGGCGGACGGGUGAGUAACACGUGGGCAACCUGCCUAUAAGACUGGGAUAACUUCGGGAAACCGGAGCUAAUACCGGAUGAUUCUUUUCUACACAUGUAGAAAAGCUGAAAGACGGCUUACGCUGUCACUUAUAGAUGGGCCCGCGGCGCAUUAGCUAGUUGGUGAGGUAACGGCUCACCAAGGCCGAGGGAUGCGUAGCCGACCUGAGAGGGUGAUCGGCCACACUGGGGCUGAGACACGGCCCAGAGACCUACGGGAGGCAGCAGUGGG
Molecule: small RNA, 300 nt
Filed under: uncultured bacterium
Lineage: Bacteria
Description: bacterial SSU rRNA
Rfam family: Bacterial small subunit ribosomal RNA
Source: RNAcentral